UGAGUAGCGUCAAUGGGCGUGAGAACCGCCCACACCGCAAGCCUGAGGGUUCCUGGGCAACGGCAGUCGUCCCAGGGUCAGUCGGGGCCUAAGCCGAGGACAUCACGUCGUAGGCGAUGGAAAGCAGGUUGGAUAGUCCUGCACCGGAGCGCAUCGUAUGAGCGAAGGAGGGACGCGGUAGGGAAGGUGAACCGAUCAAGUGGACAGGAUCGGCUGCCUGAGCGAAGGACGAGACCGAGGAAAAUCCCGGACUCAUGUGUCUGACGCCAGGCACGAGCUUCCGAAAGGGAGCGGAAGUCACUGGCCCCCAGGCCGCCAAGAAAAGCUUCUAGCGAGAUGCCGUUCCGCCCGUACCGCAAACCGACACAGGUAGGCAGGGGGAACUCCCCCCAGGUGAACGAGCGAACCUCUGUCAAGGAACUCGGCAAAUUAACCCCGUACCUUUGGAAGAAGGGGUGCCUCAGUAGCUUGUCUGGCCUUGUGCCAGAGGGGUGAGGAGGUCGCAGGAAACUGGCUCAAGCGACUGUUUACCAAAAACACAGGUCUCUGCGAACACGAAAGUGGACAUAUAGGGGCUGACUCCUGCCCAGUGCCGGAAGGUGAAAGGGAGUGGUGAGCGUAGCCACGAACUGAAGCCCCGGUGAACGGCGGCCGUAACUAUAACGGUCCUAAGGUAGCGAAAUUCCUUGUCGGGUAAGUUCCGACCCGCACGAAAGGAGUAACGACUUGAGCACUGUCUCGACAGGGGGCUCGGCGAAAUUGAAGUACCCGUGAAGAUACGGGUUACCCACGACAGGACAAAAAGACCCCGUGGAGCUUUACUACAGUGUGGCCUGGACAUAAUGGGACGUUUGCGUAGGAUAGGUGGGAGCCGGAGAGUGCAUUCUUGUGGGAGUGCAGGAGGCGAAAGUGAAAUACCACUCUUGCGUUGCGUGGUGUCUCAUGCAUGACCGUGAAGCCGGCGUGCAGACAGGGCCAGAUGGGUAGUUUGACUGGGGCGGUCGCCUCCCAAAGAGUAACGGAGGCGCCCAAAGGUUUCCUCAGGAUGAAUGGACACCAUCCGCAGAAUGUAAAGGUAGAAGGGAGCUUGACUGUGAGGCUGACGCGCCGAGCAGGGACGAAAGUCGGGCUUAGUGAUCCCACAUUCCCGAGUGGAAGGAGUGUGGCUCAACGGAUAAAAGCUACCCCGGGGAUAACAGGCUGAUCUUGCCCAAGAGUUCACAUCGACGGCAAGGUUUGGCACCUCGAUGUCGGCUCGGCGCAUCCUGGGGCUGGAGUAGGUCCCAAGGGUUGGGCUGUUCGCCCAUUAAAGCGGCACGCGAGCUGGGUUCAGAACGUCGCGAGACAGUUCGGUCUCUAUCCGUCGUGGGCGUAGGAAGAUUGAGGGGUGUCAUCUCCAGUACGAGAGGACCGAGAUGGCUUGACCGCUGGUGAGCCAGUUGGGGGGCCUCCCCCAGAGCUGGAUAGCUACGUCAAGAAAGGAGAAGUGCUGACCGCAUCUAAGCACGAAGCCGCUCCCAAGAUGAGUCUUCCCGAACGCAUGUCGUUCCAAGGUCCCAGGCAGACGACCUGGUAGAUAGACCACGCAUGCACGCCUGGUAACAGGUGAGUGAAGUGGCCCUAAUGACCGAACGGCUUGUUCAU
This 1644-nucleotide ribosomal RNA is filed under the name soil metagenome. Its description in RNAcentral is "bacterial LSU rRNA". It matches the Rfam family "Bacterial large subunit ribosomal RNA", at positions 1303 to 2925 of the family's 2925-position model. The record is from RNAcentral.